This is a non-coding RNA of Microcebus murinus (gray mouse lemur), 501 nucleotides long. The record is from the annotation of a RefSeq genome assembly. NCBI's taxonomy places the organism in Eukaryota, Metazoa, Chordata, Mammalia, Primates, Cheirogaleidae.
CCCUGAGAGCAUCACCCCAAGCCACGUCCCUCCUCUGGAGAAGGCCCUGAGAGCUCAGCUCCUCACCAUGGACUGGACCUGGAGGAUCCUCUUCCUGGUGGCAGCAGCUACAGGUGCCCACUCCGAGGUCCAGCUGGUGCAGUCUGGGGCUGAGGUGAAGCCACCUGGAGCCUCUGUGAAGGUGUCCUGCAAGGCUUCUGGAUACACCUUCACCAACUAUGCUAUGCAUUGGGUGAGACAGGCCCCUGGACAAGGGCUGGAGUGGAUGGGAUGGAUCUACACAAACACAGGAGGAACAAGCUAUGCCCAGAAGUUCCAGGGCCGAGUCACCAUGACCAGGGACACGUCCACGAGCACAGCCUACAUGGAGCUGAGCAGUCUGAGACCCGAGGACACGGCUGUGUAUUACUGUGCGAGAGACACAGUGCUACAACCCACAUCCUGAGGGGGUCAGAAACCCUGAGGGAGAUGCAGCUGUGCUGGGCUGAGGCAGCGACAGGG